Molecule: long non-coding RNA, 583 nt
Organism: Trichoplusia ni (cabbage looper)
Lineage: Eukaryota; Metazoa; Arthropoda; Insecta; Lepidoptera; Noctuidae
Exons: 4
Source: RefSeq, a predicted model, not a curated record
UUGAAUUUGAAAAUAUUAAUAAAUAAUGAAGAAAUGUAUCUUUGGACACAAUGAACACAAGUUAAGUGAAAGUUAAUAAGUGCUUCAAAUUAUACACGGAAUCUGCUUUUAAAAGUACACUAUCUUGUCGCUGCCAGUGAAACUGAACUUCGGCGUCUGUGCUGCUUUUGAACAAGAUUAAAUGUUCGUGAAUCAAAGGCGAAUGGAAAUAUCGCAACUUUCUUGCACCGGGGGCUUGUAGCUCGUUCCAUUCCGCCGACGACCACGAACGCGAGCUGCAGUGUGCGACGACCGGAGAGCAACUUAGCUGAGUGCCUGCUGAGCUGUGCUGAGAGCUGCGCUGCCGAGCCGCGGCGCGCCCUCCAGCCACCAUGGACCUCAAAUUAAUGGUGUUGAUGAUGCUGAUCGCUGUUCAGGUGCUGUCCCACAACGAUAGCGUGUGCGUUUGCACCUGUCAUACCCGAGACCCCCAAAGCCCCACCCUGACAGGCACUGUAUCCCUGCGUAAUCCUGAUUUUGACAUAUUUGAAGACCCAUGGUACGUGACUCUUUUGUUAUAGUAGUUUAGUUUAGUGACUUCAGU